GAUGAACGCUGGCGGCGUGCCUAAUACAUGCAAGUCGAGCGAACAGACGAGGAGCUUGCUCCUCUGACGUUAGCGGCGGACGGGUGAGUAACACGUGGAUAACCUACCUAUAAGACUGGGAUAACUUCGGGAAACCGGAGCUAAUACCGGAUAAUAUAUUGAACCGCAUGGUUCAAUAGUGAAAGACGGUUUUGCUGUCACUUCUAGAUGGUUCCGCGCCGCAUUAGCUAGUUGGUAAGGUAACGGCUUACCAAGGCAACGAUGCGUAGCCGACCUGAGAGGGGGAUAGGCGACACUGGAACUGAGACACGGACCAGACUACUAAGGGAGGCAGCAGUAGGGAAUCUGCCGCAAUGGGCGAGAGCCUGACGGAGCAACGCGGCGUGAGUGAUGAAGGUCUUCGGAUCGUAAAACUCUGUUAUGAGGGAAGAACAAAUGUGUAAGUAAAUAUGCACGUAUUGACGGUACCUAAUCAGAAAGCAACGGCUAACUACGUG
This 497-nucleotide ribosomal RNA is filed under the name uncultured bacterium. RNAcentral's name for it is "partial 16S ribosomal RNA". It matches the Rfam family "Bacterial small subunit ribosomal RNA", at positions 28 to 507 of the family's 1533-position model. The record is from RNAcentral.